AUUGAACGCUGGCGGCAGGCCUAACACAUGCAAGUCGAGCGGAGCGGCGGACGGGUGAGUAAUGCCUAGGAAUCUGCCUGGUAGUGGGGGAUAACGUAGGGAAACUUACGCUAAUACCGCAUACGUUUAAAUGAGCCGAUGGCGGCUUAGCUAGUUGGCGGGGUAAAGGCCUACCAAGGCGACGAGCCCUAGCUGGUCAGAGAGGAUGACCAGCCACACUGGAACUGAGACACGGUCCAGACUCCUACGGGAGGCAGCAGUGGGGAAUAUUGGACAAUGGGCGCAAGCCUGAUGCAGCCAUGCCGCGUGUAUGAAGAAGGCCUUCGGAUUGUAAAGUACUUUCAGCGGGGAGGCGUUACCCGCAGAAGAAGCACCGGCUAACUCCGUGCCAGCAGCCGCGGUAAUAC
This 407-nucleotide ribosomal RNA is filed under the name uncultured bacterium. RNAcentral's name for it is "partial 16S ribosomal RNA". It matches the Rfam family "Bacterial small subunit ribosomal RNA", at positions 30 to 526 of the family's 1533-position model. The record is from RNAcentral.